CCUACGGGUGGCAGCAGUGGGGAAUAUUGGGCAAUGGAGGAAACUCUGACCCAGCAACGCCGCGUGAAUGAUGAAGGUCCUCUGAUUGUAAAGUUCUCUUCUAAGGGAAGCAGAAAGUGACGGUACCUCAGGAAUAAGCCUCGGCUAACUACGUGCCUGCAGCCGCGGCAAUCCGGAGGAGGCAAGCGUUAUCCGGAAUGACUGGGCGUAAAGGGUGCGUAGGUGGUUUGAUAACUUGGUAGCGAAACUCGGGGGCUCAACCCCGGCUAUACUGCCAAAACUGUCGGACUUGAGUGCGGGAGAGGCAAGUGGAAUUCCUAGUGUAGCGGUGGAAUGCAUAGAUAUUAGGAGGAACACCAGUGGCGAAGGCGAGUUGCUGGACUGUAACUGACACUGAGGCACGAAAGCGUGGGGAGCGAACAGGAUUAGAUACCCCAGUAGUC
Molecule: ribosomal RNA, 443 nt
Filed under: uncultured bacterium
Lineage: Bacteria
Description: partial 16S ribosomal RNA
Rfam family: Bacterial small subunit ribosomal RNA
Source: RNAcentral